Molecule: ribosomal RNA, 419 nt
Filed under: uncultured bacterium
Lineage: Bacteria
Description: bacterial SSU rRNA
Rfam family: Bacterial small subunit ribosomal RNA
Source: RNAcentral
AGGAAUAUUGGUCAAUGGACGCAAGUCUGAACCAGCCAUGCCGCGUGAAGGAUGAAGGUCCUCUGGAUUGUAAACUUCUUUUAUCUGGGACGAAAACGGGAUUUUUAUCUCAAUUGACGGUACCAGAGGAAUAAGCACCGGCUAACUCCGUGCCAGCAGCCGCGGUAAUACGGAGGGUGCGAGCGUUAUCCGGAUUUACUGGGUUUAAAGGGUGCGUAGGUGGGCUUAUAAGUCAGUGGUGAAAUCUCCGAGCUUUACUUGGAAACUGCCGUGGAUACUAUAGGUCUUGAAUUAUCUGGAGNUAAGCGGAAUAUGUCAUGUAGCGGUGAAAUGCUUAGAUAUGACAUAGAACACCAAUUGCGAAGGCAGCUUACUACAUAUAAAUUGACGCUGAGGCAUGAAAGCGUGGGGAUCAAACA